This is a long non-coding RNA of Gasterosteus aculeatus aculeatus (three-spined stickleback), 5700 nucleotides long. NCBI's taxonomy places the organism in Eukaryota, Metazoa, Chordata, Actinopteri, Perciformes, Gasterosteidae. The record is from Ensembl.
AUUGAAUACAGCCUCCAUAGCCACUGCCGCUGAAAUAGAAAUUGAAUGCAGCCUCCAUAGCCACUGCUGCUUAAGUAGACAUUGAAUUCAGCCUCCAUAGACACUGCUGCUUAAGUAGACAUUGAAUGCAGCUGAGGCCAAUUCCGCCUCCACCUGGCACCGUCCCGGAGCCACUCCCCAUCUCUGCCCCCGAAACCACAGUGCCAAACCACAAACUGCUUAUGUGUUUUCAAUUGAAUUCCACACAUUUUCUUUGUGGCGUACAUGUUGUUUUCACAUUACAUCUCAACGCUCAUAAAGACUUCCAAUCAUUAUUAGUUGUAUUUAGCUAUUUUUUUUCUUUAGCAUAUUCUUUGUUUAGUAUUGUGCAUGCGGAUGCUGUUGUGAAUAAUGUAAGACUUUGUCUAGUUUGUAUUUCUGUGUGGUCCUUUCAAUUAGCUGUCUGGCUAACACUGAUGUUACUAUGGGCGACUGUGGGCUAUUAUAUAAUUGUUCAUCAUUUAAUUAAUGGAAACUACAAGGUCCACUCAGGGGUUAGCUUCCCAGCAUUUUGUGAUAUUCUCAUAAAAUGUAUUAUGCAUCGGAACUUUAAAGCUUUUAGGUCUUGAUAUGAUUCAAUUGAUCUAACGAGACCAUAAGAACAUCAUUGAUGCAGUUAGUGAUUCAUAGUAGUCCCUUUCCUCAUUUCAUCAUCGCCCUCAACACAUCAAUCUAGUGCCGUUAGGCACUGUUUCCAUGACAACCAGUGAAGUGCAGCGUUUUAGCUGCCUCCAUUCUAAAGAUAGAAGGCUUACAAACCCAACAUUUGGCCAUUGUCAGUGAUCAUUUGAAAUACAGCAUGACUGACAGGAAGUAUGUUUAAGGACUGAACAUAUCUGAUCACCCCCACAGGCCUGUGUGACAGAUUAGAGGCCUCAAGUCUAAAGCUCACUGAAUCCACAACAUAAUUUGAUGGCCCUUGAACAAUGUGCUUGACUGGGAAAAUGUACAUUGUUAUACUCCCAUCAAUACUAUUUGAAAAUGAUUGAUAGUAUUUUUUGUUACUAUAUAUGCUUCUUUGAUUUUUUGUAAUGUUUUUUUGAAUGUCCAUGUGUCUGAGUUGGACUCUCAAAUCAAGGAUGUCUUUGUUUGUCUCACAGCGCUGACCUUGGAAAGUGAACGGUGUAGCAGGAGUGUAACCGCCUCCCCUGGUGUUUCUGUAUCUCUAUUAGUUUUUAAUAGCGGUUUUGAUGUCUUCCAGUCAGGCUUUCGACGGCACCACAGUACUGAAACUGCUCUUUUCAACUGCUGGUUUUCAACGAGAUCCACUUAAAUACAGACAAGGGCAGAAUUUCAGUCUUUAGUAUUACUGGAUCUCAGCACAUUUGACACGGUCGACCAUGACAUACUACUGGAUAGACUAAUCAACUGGGUAGGACUCUGGCACAGCACUUAACCGGUUUGAAUCCUAUUUGAAAGACCGAAAAUACUUUGUGUCUGUAGCUAAUUACACAUCCGAGCUAAAGAAAAUGAUAUGUAGUGUUCCCCAAGGUUCAAUACUGGGGCCCCUUCUGCUCAACAUCUACAUGCUUCCAUUGGCUCAGAUUAUGGAAAACAACUAAAAAGACCUCGGAACAAGGGAGGUGACAGACCCAACGGUGAAGGGGGCCAUCCUCGCCUACUAUGGGCACAAUUUAGCCGGCCGCGCCCAGCGGGUCCAUGAUUGGGUGUACGAACCCCAGGGUCCCGUGGGAGCCAGGUGGUACGCUUGGGGAGGCUUACACGCAGCUGGUUGGUAACCGGGGAGGGUCCAGCUGCCAUCGACCGUGUCGUUAUUGACCGCUGCAUCAGAGCCCUGCCUCCCGACGCCAAGCGAUGGGCAGCCCCGAACCACCCACGGUCAGUAGACGAGCUGAUUAACCUACUGGAGAACCACCGGGUUGGCCAGCAGAUGAUGGUAGGGACAAGCUCUACUCCCCGAAGAUGUGAGGUUCUGACUCCGGCCCAGUCACCGACAACCCCUCCUCGCCCGGCUCGGAGAACCCUGCCACGUCCACUACCCGACAGGUCUGAGGGGAGGUGUUUUUGGUGUGGCCAGUUAGGACAUCUCGCCCGGAAGUGGCCUGCUGGCGAUGUGCCCAUGCCCUCCACCAGCACUGAGGAACUGCACCGCCCAGGGAGGUGCCUCAUGACUACCUGUUGGGCUCCCAAUAUGGCAUUUUUGCAUUUGUUUCAUCAUGUGUCUUACCAAGCUGACCAAGGCAACCAAGCUGAAAUGUGAUACUUGAUUUUUCUGUCAAUUAACGAUACAAUUUUGCUGAGCUGCAGUUUUUAAAUGCUAAAUAUUCUUAUGUGUUUAAAAUCUAAAGAAAAUAUCAAUCAAAAAUGUCAUGUUUAUGACUUUUUCAAAAAGACAGAUUAAAGAAAUAAACAAAAACCCAUUAAGGAACAGAGGAUACUGCCAAACAAAUUACACCUGAUAGUCAAAAACCGAAACAAAUACUUUAUUAACAAACUUUAAUUCGUAUUUUGCAGUUUUUGUAAAACAAUAUAUUUUACUCUCUCAAAUUUGUAAUAUUUUAUUGCAUUAAUCAACGUUAGUUGUUCAUGGAGCUACAAGGACUGGCCGUCUUCUGCUCCCUUCUCGUUCCGCUGCCAGUUGUAGCCACCUCUUCAUGAACAUUUCCACCUCGCGUUCAGAAGGACUCGAAGUCAGUGGGUUCUUCCUUACAGCAGCUGAUGUGGAAAAAAGUUUCUGUUGGUACAAACAAAUAAAAUCUGAUCUAUGAGGAGCAUUUACCGAUUACAGCGGUCUUCAGUUUUAGGGAAGCCAUGGAUGUUUUCCCAUUUACGAGGGUGUUUGAUAUUGCGUGCUUCAUUAGGAUAAACCCCAAAACGAUACAUGAAUGCUCUACCACAGGGGGGGCCACACUUUUCCGACUCGUGACGUACUUUUCAACUAACCUGUCGAUAUGAGUCGAUAUGAAGAACACAAGGAGCCUCUUGUCUGUCAGAAGGAGGAAACCGUCACAAGCGUCUCACUCAUUCUGGCUCGUUACCUUACUGGAGUCAGCCUGCGUUGCUUUGAGAGGACAGGAAACCGUCCGUUAGUAAGCGAGGACGUCAUUUUUUUAUUGAUGGCACGUGAUCAACUAGUGCUGCCUUUGAGAUCGACUGGUCGAUCGCGAUGGACGUAUCUAGCAGCCCCGCUGUAGCAAUUACUGUUUGGAGUUUCAAAUAGGGCCUCGUGACUCCAGGAUGGCACACUGGCUGAUCAGGGGGCUGUUGCACGAAACCAGGAUAAGGGAUUAAGCCGGGAUAUUCUCCGUUAUCCUGGAUGAAUUUAGCUUGGACUUGGUUGCACAAAAGCAGGUUGAAUUAAGCCCAGUCAAGUAACCAUGAUAAUUUAUUCUUUGCAGCUCGCCUGCUCCAGACCGGGCCAACAGCCGGGCCAACAGCCGGGCCAACAGCCGGGCCAACAGCCGGGCCAACAGCCGGGCCAAGAUUAAUCUUGGAGUCUCGUGUUAAAUCAGCUGCUGCUCAGUUAUUCCGUUGUCUUCUGGAUGUGUUCUGUUUUAUUUCCAUUAACAUGCAUUGCUUGUCACUAUUGCUGUCACUAGUUUGAUUUUAAACUCUACUAUUGUAGUUGUUUAGAUCAGUGUCCACAAGUCUUUUUUACCUCACGGACCGUUUUCAUGUCAGACAAAAUUUCACGGACCGGUCAAGAAGGUCCGGCAGAUAAUAAAGAUUUCGAAAUAACGGGGUUAGUAGUAGAUGCGGGCAGACCGACUGAUUGAGACGUGCUGUCAGAUGUGAGAGGACCAGACCAGCGUGAAGCAUCUCACCAUCCCACAGAUGUCUGUAUGGCGCUGAGCUUUUUUUGCAAACGGCAUGUUUUAUGUGCCGAAACUGUAAAUAAAGGCACUAUUUGCCGCACUGUCAGAAGUGUGUGUUGUUACCUUCCCUGCACAGAAGAAGGUGUCACGUCAAAGAGGAUUUCCACAUAUUCCGUACAGAUGGUGAUUGAUGUACUGGAGAAUGUAGCAUGUAUGAAGAGGGCAGCCAGUCCCCCUGAAUCCCCCCAUCACAGGCUGCCUUGGUUUAAAACAAGGGCCAAUUCCUCAGCUGGGUUGAACCCUGGUGCCCCCCCCCCCCCAGUGUCACACAAAUGAGCCCUUUUCUUAACUGCUAAAUAAAAUAUGUGAGCAGGCAUCUUGCCCAUCAAUGUAUUUCUACACCAUUUGCAAACUCGGCGCUUACCAGCCUGCUAAAUGGUUUUAUAUUUGAUCUUGACCUGUUUUCCAGUUGUUAGUUUGACAUUAUUUGGAGAAAGAUUUUUAGAAUUAAGACACAGCUUAUAGAGAUUUGUGCAUAUGGUUGUAAAACAUAUUCUCCUAUUGUGAAUAAGGGGUUGAAAUGAGUCUUUAGGGUCAAUUUCCAGAGGAAUUAAUUCCCUCUGCUCUCUUUUAAGGCAAAGUAGGAUAAAUAAUAAUACGUUGUAUUUAUAUAGUGCUUUACAUGGUAGGCUGCUCAAAGACACUUUAGGGUAAAACCAGCACAUACACACAGAUACAGAAAUAAAAAGCUGCCAUUUUCCUUUUUUGUUGCAUAUUUUAUGCUUCACCUCCUCGUAUAUUUUCCAUGAUUCGUUGCUGCUCGGCGGGUGAAAAAUAUGCUCCAUUUGUGCAUCAGGACCCCGUGGUCUUCUUCAGAAAGCCGUGAACGUGCACUGAUCCAGCUGUGUCCACCUGGAUUGACUGAGCUCCCCCUUCUCAUCCCGGCUCGGCAGAUGUGCAACUGAUUAAGAUCACACAAGUCAAGUCAGUUAUCCUGGAUUUCUUUAUUCUACUUUUGUGCAACAGCCCCCAGGAUCUUAAAAAACAAAACAUUCCUAACGGAGCGAUUUUGAGUUUUGUGAUCUUUGAGCCAAAUAAAGACGACCUUUUUCUGUUCAUUCUGCUCUUUGAGUCCUCUCUUAAAACGUGGGCCAGACCGCAAAGGACGUAGUUAGCGGACCAAUCGCACCCUUGUGCGCUGCUUCGACGCAAGCCUAGAAAAAUGGGUCGACGCGCGCAAGGAGGUGUGAAAAGACACGCAAGGGACACGCAAGGGACACGCAAGGGACGCGCAGGGGACGCGCAAGGGGGUCUUGCGUCUGCGUCGCUGUGAAAACGCAGAAGCAUAAACUAGGCUUUAGUUGUGGUGCUAUCAAGUAUUACAUGCAUGCAUUGGUAUUAUAUUGAUCACAGUUUCAAAAUUACAGUGUUUUACAAUAUUCUCAUUAGUGUAUUGAUCACAUUGUUCCAGAAUCAUGGCUGUAUUCUGAUGUACACUAAAUGCAUUUUAUUAAUUUAUGAACCGGGUCGUCAGGUUAUUUCUAAUAUCCUACAAUAGAUAUUUUUAACAAAGUUGAACCACAUGGAGGUUUGGUACAAUCAAGAGGGUCUCCUGCUGGUAUCCUCCCAAUGAUUUCACACAAUGCGCUUUACUUUCUUUUACGACUGUGAUUGACUUAUUACAAACUAAGGGAAUGAAAACUAGGUAGAUGGGCUAUUUUAUAAUGUAUAUUUAACAGACAAUUACAUUUUGUGAAAUGUAGACAUGAGUACGACAAUUCAACUCGGACUGUCAAUUGGGGACAAGCUGUUGAAGACAAUGUAAUCUUCCCAGUUGCACCUCGCAUUAGAAAAUGCCGGUUGAUGUUGGUAAUACCGGUUCUGG